UUAUCGGUAAAGGAGCGGCCCGCGUUAGAUAGUAGUUGGUGGGGUAAUGGCCUACCAAGUCUACGAUCUAUAGCUGGUUUGAGAGGUGAUCAGCAACACUGGGACUGAGACACGGCCCAGACUCCUACGGGAGGCAGCAGUGGGGAAUCUUAGACAAUGGGCGCAAGCCUGAUCUAGCCAUGCCGCGUGAGUGACGAAGGCCUUAGGGUCGUAAAGCUCUUUCGCCAGGGAUGAUAAUGACAGUACCUGGUAAAGAAACCCCGGCUAACUCCGUGCCAGCAGCCGCGGUAAUACGGAGGGGGUUAGCGUUGUUCGGAAUUACUGGGCGUAAAGCGCACGUAGGCGGACUGGAAAGUUGGGGGUGAAAUCCCGGGGCUCAACCUCGGAACUGCCUCCAAAACUACUAGUCUAGAGUUCGAGAGAGGUGAGUGGAAUUCCGAGUGUAGAGGUGAAAUUCGUAGAUAUUCGGAGGAACACCAGUGGCGAAGGCGGCUCACUGGCUCGAUACUGACGCUGAGGUGCGAAAGUGUGGGGAGCAAACAGGAUUAGAUACCCUGGUAGUCCACACCGUAAACGAUGAAUGCCAGUC
RNAcentral lists this ribosomal RNA (589 nucleotides) under uncultured bacterium. RNAcentral's name for it is "bacterial SSU rRNA". It matches the Rfam family "Bacterial small subunit ribosomal RNA", at positions 212 to 821 of the family's 1533-position model. The record is from RNAcentral.